Molecule: ribosomal RNA, 490 nt
Filed under: uncultured bacterium
Lineage: Bacteria
Description: partial 16S ribosomal RNA
Rfam family: Bacterial small subunit ribosomal RNA
Source: RNAcentral
AUUGAACGCUGGCGGCAGGCCUAACACAUGCAAGUCGAACGGUAACAGAAAGCAGCUUGCUGCUUUGCUGACGAGUGGCGGACGGGUGAGUAAUGUCUGGGAAACUGCCUGAUGGAGGGGGAUAACUACUGGAAACGGUAGCUAAUACCGCAUAACGUCGCAAGACCAAAGAGGGGGACCUUCGGGCCUCUUGCCAUCGGAUGUGCCCAGAUGGGAUUAGCUAGUAGGUGGGGUAACGGCUCACCUAGGCGACGAUCCCUAGCUGGUCUGAGAGGAUGACCAGCCACACUGGAACUGAGACACGGUCUAGACUCCUACGGGAGGCAGCAGUGGGGAAUAUUGCACAAUGGGCGCAAGCCUGAUGCAGCCAUGCCGCGUGUAUGAAGAAGGCCUUCGGGUUGUAAAGUACUUUCAGCGGGGAGGAAGGGAGUAAAGUUAAUACCUUUGCUCAUUGACGUUACCCGCAGAAGAAGCACCGGCUAACUCCGUG